UGGCUCAGAUGGUAAAGCAUCUGCCUGCAAUGCAGGAGACCCGGGUUCCAUCCCUGG
This 57-nucleotide transfer RNA is filed under the name Bos taurus (domestic cattle). It matches the Rfam family "tRNA", at positions 8 to 63 of the family's 71-position model. Rfam says of the family: Transfer RNA (tRNA) molecules are approximately 80 nucleotides in length. Their secondary structure includes four short double-helical elements and three loops (D, anti-codon, and T loops). RNAcentral also lists the same sequence under 4 other names. Lineage: Eukaryota; Metazoa; Chordata; Mammalia; Artiodactyla; Bovidae. The record is from Rfam by way of RNAcentral.